RNAcentral lists this long non-coding RNA (597 nucleotides) under Physcomitrium patens. Its description in RNAcentral is "long non-coding RNA (PPAT_LNC007792)". The record is from RNAcentral. Lineage: Eukaryota; Viridiplantae; Streptophyta; Bryopsida; Funariales; Funariaceae.
GAGAAUUGAUAAUUGGGAUUAGAGAGAGCACUUUUUCAGCUAAAAUUUUGGUAUACUGUUUGAUGGAUUUCUAAUUGGAAUAAAAGAGAUAUUGGAGGUUGAAAUUAGUGCUUGCAAAUCUAAGGGUAGCAAGUGACGUGAUUCACUAAUGGUUGUGUUUUGAGCUAUAUCUUGAGCAAUUUGAUGAGGUUUUGGCUCAAAAUUUUGCAGAAUGUAUAUAAUCAUGUUAAUAAACUUUAUGUAUAAAUUUUGUAGAAUUUGAAUUUUGGACUUUUGAGAUAUAAGAAAAAUAGUUUUUGUAUGCUCAUAGAUUAGGAUUUAGAGCACCUGUUAGGAUUUCAAAGAUGCCAGAAGAUUGGUAAUAGAUUUAUGGUUCAUUUUUUUUGUAGUAAAGUUUAAGAAUGGAAUCUAUAUUAAACAAAAAUUUGAUUAAGAGAUUAAAAUUGAAUAGUUGGAUUAAGAGAUAUGAAUUUUUAAAAUUCAAGAUAAAAACAUCCUUUAUGGAAAGAAAAUAUUUUGAAAGGCUUUUUUAUAAUUUGAGCUUUUUUAUAAGAUAAAGAAAUUUUUGAAAGAUAAGACAUCAUAUAUAAGCUAAAG